Long non-coding RNA from Astatotilapia calliptera (eastern happy), 321 nucleotides. The record is from Ensembl. NCBI's taxonomy places the organism in Eukaryota, Metazoa, Chordata, Actinopteri, Cichliformes, Cichlidae.
GGAGCCACGGCGGACAACACGGCAGCUCUUUCCCUUCCCAACCAGUCAGAUACAAGAUUCCAUAGAUUUUCACUUCAAAACUAUAUUGGCUGUUGAAGUUGUACGGCUUUACAAGUGUGACAGGCAGCAACAAUGUCAGCUUUUGAUCCAAACACCGGUGAAUUAUGUGGGAAGGUCCAUCUGUUGUUGUACUUUCAUCAGAAGCACUACGAAGCCCAAAAGUUUUGAUCUUGACUCAAAUUGCAUGAGAUGCUUUAGCCUUGUUGCAUUGAGUUGGUACUCAGAGAAAGGUAAUUUUCUUUAGGUAAAAAGUUUUUUUUU